GUCCUAGGGAGGUAGCUAUAGGCACCAUUGCGGCUGGCCGGUGCCUAGCGGGACUGAGAGGUGAAACUGGCCAACCUCCCGUGAGGGUUUGUAGCUUGCCCGGCUUUACACAAAAUGAGCCAACAGUCGUCACUGCCCACGAGGUGGCAGCACUGAGCAGCAAGUCCUUGCAAGAAGAUGGACCCAGUCAAGGCUUCUGGCUGUUCCAGGCCCUGAAGAUUUCUUCAGCAGCAUCCAGUGUGCUGUCUUUCUAGAAAUAAAAUAAUUGUAUCGUUACAUACCAGUAUAAAUUCAAGAUAUUGCAAUAUUUAAAUAUAGAAGGUAUAUCUGGGUGCUUGUGGCACCCCUUUAGAAAAACCCAUUGAAGAUUAAAAACCGUACUAGCAAUACCCAAAAACUUAAGAGAAUGUACAGUCUUAGGUGAAGAAGCAAUGUCAAAGUAAAAACAAAAAUGUGGAAACUAAAAGGGGAGGGGUGGGACGUGGCUCAGUGGUUAGGGUGUGUACCGAUCUUGCAGAGAAAUCAUGUUCCUAGCACCCCAGGUGAGCGGCUCACAAAACUUCCUAAAACUCCAGCUCCCAGGGAUCUGAUGACCUGUCCUGUUAUACGUGAGUGUACACACACACACACACACACACACACACACACUUAAAAAAGUAAACAAAAAUCUAGA
RNAcentral lists this long non-coding RNA (673 nucleotides) under Mus pahari (shrew mouse). Its description in RNAcentral is "lncRNA (MGP_PahariEiJ_G0003546.1)". The record is from RNAcentral. Lineage: Eukaryota; Metazoa; Chordata; Mammalia; Rodentia; Muridae.